This 253-nucleotide ribosomal RNA is filed under the name uncultured bacterium. RNAcentral describes it as "partial 16S ribosomal RNA". It matches the Rfam family "Bacterial small subunit ribosomal RNA", at positions 524 to 776 of the family's 1533-position model. The record is from RNAcentral.
GACGUAUGGGGCCAGCGUUGUUCGGAAUUACUUGGUGUAAAGGGUUCGUAGGCGGUGUGGCAAGUUGGGAGUGAAAUCUCUGGGCUCAACCCAGAGGCUGCUUCCAAAACUGCCAUGCUUGAGUGUGGGAGAGGCGCGUGGAAUUGCAGGUGUAGCGGUGAAAGGCGUAGAUAUCUGCAGGAACACCGGUGGCGAAAGCGGCGCGCUGGACCACAACUGACGCUGAGGCACGAAAGCUAGGGGAGCAAACAGG